GCAGAGUUGGCCGAGUGGUUAAGGCGCUGCACUCAAGUAGGACUUCCCGGAACUACUCGGGUGAAUUGCAGUCCCGCAUGGGUCGUGGGUUCGAAUCCCACACUCUGCA
Molecule: non-coding RNA, 109 nt
Organism: Dunaliella salina
Lineage: Eukaryota; Viridiplantae; Chlorophyta; Chlorophyceae; Chlamydomonadales; Dunaliellaceae
Source: the annotation of a GenBank genome assembly